Molecule: microRNA, 18 nt
Filed under: Callorhinchus milii (elephant shark)
Lineage: Eukaryota; Metazoa; Chordata; Chondrichthyes; Chimaeriformes; Callorhinchidae
Description: eshark_mir-467_7
Source: RNAcentral
AGUUGUGUUGUGGCUGUA